RNAcentral lists this ribosomal RNA (454 nucleotides) under uncultured bacterium. Its description in RNAcentral is "bacterial SSU rRNA". It matches the Rfam family "Bacterial small subunit ribosomal RNA", at positions 339 to 794 of the family's 1533-position model. The record is from RNAcentral.
CUACGGGAGGCAGCAGUGGGGAAUAUUGCACAAUGGGCGAAAGCCUGAUGCAGCGACGCCGCGUGAGGGAUGACGGCCUUCGGGUUGUAAACCUCUUUCAGUAGGGAACAAGGCCAGCUUUUGGUUGGUUGAGGGUACUUGCAGAAGAAGCGCCGGCUAACUACGUGCCAGCAGCCGCGGUAAUACGUAGGGCGCAAGCGUUAUCCGGAAUUAUUGGGCGUAAAGAGCUCGUAGGCGGUUUGUCGCGUCUGCCGUGAAAGUCCGGGGCUCAACCCCGGAUCUGCGGUGGGUACGGGCAGACUAGAGUGAUGUAGGGGAGACUGGAAUUCCUGGUGUAGCGGUGAAAUGCGCAGAUAUCAGGAGGAACACCGAUGGCGAAGGCAGGUCUCUGGGCAUUAACUGACGCUGAGGAGCGAAAGCAUGGGGAGCGAACAGGAUUAGAUACCCUGGUAGA